Molecule: long non-coding RNA, 736 nt
Organism: Grammomys surdaster
Lineage: Eukaryota; Metazoa; Chordata; Mammalia; Rodentia; Muridae
Exons: 3
Source: RefSeq, a predicted model, not a curated record
CUUCUAGAUCCCCUGCGGACCUGAAUUUUGCAAAAUCCAGGCUUCCACCAAUUCUCCACCAGGAUUUCCCAGAAGGCUGGCACUUGGAACGUCCUGCGCUCCAUUAAGAACCGGAGAUCUGUUUGGCGCCCAGGGACCCCGGGCUCCUGACACCAACCUGCAGCAGACAAGAGUGGCUGGCACCCCCAGACUCUUACCGUAGCAUCUUCUCCCGAAUAGUGUCCGAUGACACGGUGGCCCCCCGGGUGCCGCUGGGACCAUUUGGUAACAUUGUAGACCUUGCGGUCGAUGACGAGCCACCGGUCGGUGCGCAGGUUGUGCUUCUGAAUCUCCUCCCAGCGGAAGUCCUUUCCAGACCCUGAGCUCUCUAGCUCCUCAUGACACUGGUCUAAAGAAGUACCUGGAGCAGGGGGUAAUGCCAUUCCCACAGUCCCUCCCAUGAUAUGCACAUCUCAUUCUGUCCUGGCAUCCAUCAGGAGCAUCCUUUCUUCAUUCCGAAAACUCCAGACUCAAGGAGUGUGAGUGAAGCUUCUUUGGCUUAGAGGAGAGGAAACAAGCAUCCAACCUGUAUGGCCUGCCCAAAAGAUAAGAGCGAAUGAAGUAGGUGUGGUGGCCAUGUCCAUACUGGCAACAGUCAGAAACCUGAGGCAGGAUCUUGCCAGGAGUCCAAGGCUGGCCUGGGCUGCAAAGCAAGAUCCUAUAGGAGGAUGGGACACAACUCUGCGUAAGGAGCAAG